GCGUGGGGGGGGGUUGCCUAUACAUGCAAGUAGAACGCUGAAGAGAGGAGCUUGCUCUUCUUGGAUGAGUUGCGAACGGGUGAGUAACGCGUAGGUAACCUGCCUUGUAGCGGGGGAUAACUAUUGGAAACGAUAGCUAAUACCGCAUAACAAUGGAUGACACAUGUCAUUUAUUUGAAAGGGGCAAUUGCUCCACUACAAGAUGGACCUGCGUUGUAUUAGCUAGUAGGUGAGGUAACGGCUCACCUAGGCGACGAUACAUAGCCGACCUGAGAGGGUGAUCGGCCACACUGGGACUGAGACACGGCCCAGACUCCUACGGGAGGCAGCAGUAGGGAAUCUUCGGCAAUGGGGGCAACCCUGACCGAGCAACGCCGCGUGAGUGAAGAAGGUUUUCGGAUCGUAAAGCUCUGUUGUAAGUCAAGAACGAGUGUGAGAGUGGAAAGUUCACACUGUGACGGUAGCUUACCAGAAAGGGACGGCUAACUACGUGCCAGCAGCCGCGGUAAUACGUAGGUCCCGAGCGUUGUCCGGAUUUAUUGGGCGUAAAGCGAGCGCAGGCGGUUUGAUAAGUCUGAAGUUAAAGGCUGUGGCUCAACCAUAGUUCGCUUUGGAAACUGUCAAACUUGAGUGCAGAAGGGGAGAGUGGAAUUCCAUGUGUAGCGGUGAAAUGCGUAGAUAUAUGGAGGAACACCGGUGGCGAAAGCGGCUCUCUGGUCUGUAACUGACGCUGAGGCUCGAAAGCGUGGGGAGCGAACAGGAUUAGAUACCCUGGUAGUCCACGCCGUAAACGAUGAGUGCUAGGUGUUGGAUCCUUUCCGGGAUUCAGUGCCGCAGCUAACGCAUUAAGCACUCCGCCUGGGGAGUACGACCGCAAGGUUGAAACUCAAAGGAAUUGACGGGGGCCCGCACAAGCGGUGGAGCAUGUGGUUUAAUUCGAAGCAACGCGAAGAACCUUACCAGGUCUUGACAUCCCGAUGCUAUUUCUAGAGAUAGAAAGUUACUUCGGUACAUCGGUGACAGGUGGUGCAUGGUUGUCGUCAGCUCGUGUCGUGAGAUGUUGGGUUAAGUCCCGCAACGAGCGCAACCCCUAUUGUUAGUUGCCAUCAUUCAGUUGGGCACUCUAGCGAGACUGCCGGUAAUAAACCGGAGGAAGGUGGGGAUGACGUCAAAUCAUCAUGCCCCUUAUGACCUGGGCUACACACGUGCUACAAUGGUUGGUACAACGAGUUGCGAGUCGGUGACGGCAAGCUAAUCUCUUAAAGCCAAUCUCAGUUCGGAUUGUAGGCUGCAACUCGCCUACAUGAAGUCGGAAUCGCUAGUAAUCGCGGAUCAGCACGCCGCGGUGAAUACGUUCCCGGGCCUUGUACACACCGCCCGUCACACCACGAGAGUUUGUAACACCCGAAGUCGGUGAGGUAACCUUUUGGAGCCAGCCGCUAAGUGGAUUGAGGUG
This 1456-nucleotide ribosomal RNA is filed under the name Streptococcus salivarius. Its description in RNAcentral is "bacterial SSU rRNA". It matches the Rfam family "Bacterial small subunit ribosomal RNA". The record is from RNAcentral. Lineage: Bacteria; Bacillati; Bacillota; Bacilli; Lactobacillales; Streptococcaceae.